GACGAACGCUGGCGGCGUGCCUAAUACAUGCAAGUCGAGCGAGCGGAACUAACAGAUUUACUUCGGUAAUGACGUUAGGAAAGCGAGCGGCGGAUGGGUGAGUAACACGUGGGGAACCUGCCCCAUAGUCUGGGAUACCACUUGGAAACAGGUGCUAAUACCGGAUAAGAAAGCAGAUCGCAUGAUCAGCUUUUAAAAGGCGGCGUAAGCUGUCGCUAUGGGAUGGCCCCGCGGUGCAUUAGCUAGUUGGUAAGGUAAAGGCUUACCAAGGCGAUGAUGCAUAGCCGAGUUGAGAGACUGAUCGGCCACAUUGGGACUGAGACACGGCCCAAACUCCUACGGGAGGCAGCAGUAGGGAAUCUUCCACAAUGGACGCAAGUCUGAUGGAGCAACGCCGCGUGAGUGAAGAAGGUUUUCGGAUCGUAAAGCUCUGUUGUUGGUGAAGAAGGAUAGAGGUAGUAACUGGCCUUUAUUUGACGGUAAUCAACCAGAAAGUCACGGCUAACUACGUGCCAGCAGCCGCGGUAAUACGUAGGUGGCAAGCGUUGUCCGGAUUUAUUGGGCGUAAAGCGAGCGCAGGCGGAAGAAUAAGUCUGAUGUGAAAGCCCUCGGCUUAACCGAGGAACUGCAUCGGAAACUGUUUUUCUUGAGUGCAGAAGAGGAGAGUGGAACUCCAUGUGUAGCGGUGGAAUGCGUAGAUAUAUGGAAGAACACCAGUGGCGAAGGCGGCUCUCUGGUCUGCAACUGACGCUGAGGCUCGAAAGCAUGGGUAGCGAACAGGAUUAGAUACCCUGGUAGUCCAUGCCGUAAACGAUGAGUGCUAAGUGUUGGGAGGUUUCCGCCUCUCAGUGCUGCAGCUAACGCAUUAAGCACUCCGCCUGGGAAGUACGACCGCAAGGUUGAAACUCAAAGGAAUUGACGGGGGCCCGCACAAGCGGUGGAGCAUGUGGUUUAAUUCGAAGCAACGCGAAGAACCUUACCAGGUCUUGACAUCUAGUGCCAUUUGUAGAGAUACAAAGUUCCCUUCGGGGACGCUAAGACAGGUGGUGCAUGGCUGUCGUCAGCUCGUGUCGUGAGAUGUUGGGUUAAGUCCCGCAACGAGCGCAACCCUUGUUAUUAGUUGCCAGCAUUAAGUUGGGCACUCUAAUGAGACUGCCGGUGACAAACCGGAGGAAGGUGGGGAUGACGUCAAGUCAUCAUGCCCCUUAUGACCUGGGCUACACACGUGCUACAAUGGGCAGUACAACGAGAAGCGAGCCUGCGAAGGCAAGCGAAUCUCUGAAAGCUGUUCUCAGUUCGGACUGCAGUCUGCAACUCGACUGCACGAAGCUGGAAUCGCUAGUAAUCGCGGAUCAGCACGCCGCGGUGAAUACGUUCCCGGGCCUUGUACACACCGCCCGUCACACCAUGGGAGUCUGCAAUGCCCAAAGCCGGUGGCCUAACCUUCGGGAAGGAGCCGUCUAAGGCAGGGCAGAUGACUGGGGUG
This 1486-nucleotide ribosomal RNA is filed under the name uncultured bacterium. RNAcentral describes it as "bacterial SSU rRNA". It matches the Rfam family "Bacterial small subunit ribosomal RNA". The record is from RNAcentral.